RNAcentral lists this ribosomal RNA (347 nucleotides) under Truepera sp. Its description in RNAcentral is "partial 23S ribosomal RNA". It matches the Rfam family "Bacterial large subunit ribosomal RNA", at positions 1 to 347 of the family's 2925-position model. Lineage: Bacteria; Thermotogati; Deinococcota; Deinococci; Trueperales; Trueperaceae. The record is from RNAcentral.
GGUUAAGUUACUAAGGGCACACGGUGGAUGCCUUGGCAGUCGAACCGAUGAAGGACGUGGCUACCUGCGAUAAGCCUCGGUGAGCUGGAAGCAAGCUUUGACCCGGGGGUGUCCGAAUGGGGAAACCCACCAGAGCGAACCUCUGGUAUCCCACGCUGAAUAUAUAGGCGUGAGGAGGGGAACCCAGGGAACUGAAACAUCUAAGUACCUGGAGGAACAGAAAGAAACCUCGAUUCCCUUAGUAGUGGCGAACGAAAAGGGAAUAGCCCAAACCACUCCCUUCGGGGAGUGGGGUUGUAGGACCGGCAACUAACGGGACCCGAACGUCUAGCCGAAGCGUACUGGUA